RNAcentral lists this ribosomal RNA (408 nucleotides) under uncultured bacterium. Its description in RNAcentral is "partial 16S ribosomal RNA". It matches the Rfam family "Bacterial small subunit ribosomal RNA", at positions 28 to 526 of the family's 1533-position model. The record is from RNAcentral.
GACGAACGCUGGCGGCGUGCUUAACACAUGCAAGUCGAACGAAGUGGCGAACGGGUGAGUAACGCGUAAUCAACCUGCCCUUCAGAGGGGGACAACAGUUGGAAACGACUGCUAAUACCGCAUACUGAAGGAGGGGAUUGCGUCUGAGUAGCUAGUUGGAGGGGUAACGGCCCACCAAGGCGAUAAUAAGUCGCCGGGCUGGUAUGUGGACCGGCCACCAUGGGACUGAGACCGGGCCCAGACUCCUACGUGAGGCAGCAGUGGGGACUCUUUCGCAAUGGACGAAAGUCUGACGAUGCAACGCCGCGUGAGUGAUGACGGCCUUCGGGUUGUAAAGCUCUGUUAAUCGGGACGCGGUACCGGAAUAGAAAUCCACGGCUAACUACGUGCCAGCAGCCGCGGUAAUUC